RNAcentral lists this ribosomal RNA (195 nucleotides) under uncultured Chlamydia sp. Its description in RNAcentral is "partial 16S ribosomal RNA". It matches the Rfam family "Bacterial small subunit ribosomal RNA", at positions 139 to 321 of the family's 1533-position model. Lineage: Bacteria; Pseudomonadati; Chlamydiota; Chlamydiia; Chlamydiales; Chlamydiaceae. The record is from RNAcentral.
GGGAAUAACGGUUGGAAACGACCGCUAAUACCGAAUGUGGUAUGUUUAGGCAUCUAAAACAUAUUAAAGAAGGGGAUCUUCGGACCUUUCGGUUGAGGGAGAGUCUAUGGGAUAUCAGCUUGUUGGUGGGGUAAUGGCCUACCAAGGCUUUGACGUCUAGGCGGAUUGAGAGAUUGACCGCCAACACUGGGACUG